RNAcentral lists this unclassified non-coding RNA (336 nucleotides) under soil metagenome. RNAcentral's name for it is "partial contains 5.8S ribosomal RNA, internal transcribed spacer 2, and large subunit ribosomal RNA". The stretch from base 1 to 120 matches the Rfam family "5.8S ribosomal RNA", at positions 35 to 154 of the family's 154-position model. The record is from RNAcentral.
GAUGAAGAACGUAGCGAAAUGCGAUAAGUAAUGCGAAUUGCAGAAUUCAGUGAGUCAUCGAAUCUUUGAACGCACAUUGCGCCCUGUGGUAUUCCAUGGGGCAUGCCUGUUCGAGCGUCAUUUGUACCUUCAAGCUUUGCUUGGUGUUGGGUGUUUGUCUCGCCUUUGCGUGUAGACUCGCCUUAAAAUAAUUGGCAGCCGGCGUAUUGAUUUCGGAGCGCAGUACAUCUCGCGCUUUGCACUCAUAACGACAGCGUCCAAAAGUACAUUUUACACUCUUGACCUCGGAUCAGGUAGGGAUACCCGCUGAACUUAAGCAUAUCAAUAAGCGGAGGA